Regulatory RNA element from Ruminococcaceae bacterium D16, 78 nucleotides. It matches the Rfam family "ZMP/ZTP riboswitch aptamer (pfl RNA motif)". Rfam says of the family: Previously known as pfl RNA. ZMP is also known as AICAR. The record is from Rfam. Lineage: Bacteria; Bacillati; Bacillota; Clostridia; Eubacteriales; Oscillospiraceae.
AUCAAGCGGCAUGACUGACGGAAGUGGAGUGACCACGGGGAGUGCCGCCUCUGAGAGCCGACCGUCUGGGCGCACCCG